RNAcentral lists this ribosomal RNA (497 nucleotides) under uncultured crenarchaeote. RNAcentral's name for it is "bacterial SSU rRNA". It matches the Rfam family "Archaeal small subunit ribosomal RNA", at positions 860 to 1354 of the family's 1478-position model. Lineage: Archaea; Thermoproteati; Thermoproteota. The record is from RNAcentral.
AGGAAUUGGCGGGGGAGCACCACAAGGGGUGAAGCCUGCGGUUCAAUUGGAGUCAACGCCGGGAAUCUUACCGGGGGCGACAGCAGAGUGAAGGUCAAGCUGAAGACUUUACCAGACAAGCUGAGAGGAGGUGCAUGGCCGUCGCCAGCUCGUGCCGUGAGGUGUCCUGUUAAGUCAGGUAACGAGCAAGAUCCCUGUCUCUAGUUGCUACCACUGCUCUCAGGAGCAGAGGGGCUAAUUAGAGGGACCGCCGCCGCUGAGGCGGAGGAAGGAGGGGGCUACGGCAGGUCAGUAUGCCCCGAAACCCUCGGGCCACACGCGGGCUGCAAUGGUAAGGACAGCGGGCCCCGAUCCCGAAAGGGGGAGGCAAUCCCUCAAACCUUACCACAGUUAUGAUUGAGGGCUGAAACUCGCCCUCAUGAAUAUGGAAUCCCUAGUAACCGCGUGUCAACGUCGCGCGGUGAAUACGUCCCUGCUCCUUGCACACACCGCCCGUC